Molecule: ribosomal RNA, 370 nt
Filed under: uncultured Desulfovibrio sp.
Lineage: Bacteria; Pseudomonadati; Thermodesulfobacteriota; Desulfovibrionia; Desulfovibrionales; Desulfovibrionaceae
Description: bacterial SSU rRNA
Rfam family: Bacterial small subunit ribosomal RNA
Source: RNAcentral
UUCCUUCGGGAAGCGAGCGUACACAGGUGCUGCAUGGCUGUCGUCAGCUCGUGCCGUGAGGUGUUGGGUUAAGUCCCGCAACGAGCGCAACCCUAUUGCCAGUUGCUACCAGGUAAUGCUGGGCACUCUGGUGAGACUGCCCCGGUUAACGGGGAGGAAGGUGGGGACGACGUCAAGUCAUCAUGGCCCUUACGCCUAGGGCUACACACGUACUACAAUGGCGCAUACAAAGGGCAGCGAUACCGCGAGGUGGAGCCAAUCCCAAAAAGUGCGUCCCAGUCCGGAUUGCAGUCUGCAACUCGACUGCAUGAAGUUGGAAUCGCUAGUAAUUCGAGAUCAGCAUGCUCGGGUGAAUGCGUUCCCGGGCCUU